This 2889-nucleotide ribosomal RNA is filed under the name Acinetobacter baumannii 25569_6. Its description in RNAcentral is "bacterial LSU rRNA". It matches the Rfam family "Bacterial large subunit ribosomal RNA". The record is from RNAcentral. Lineage: Bacteria; Pseudomonadati; Pseudomonadota; Gammaproteobacteria; Moraxellales; Moraxellaceae.
CAAGUAAUUAAGUGCAUGUGGUGGAUGCCUUGGCAGUCAGAGGCGAUGAAAGACGUGAUAGCCUGCGAAAAGCUCCGGGGAGGCGGCAAAUAUCCUUUGAUCCGGAGAUGUCUGAAUGGGGGAACCCACCUACUUUAAGGUAGGUAUUGCAACAUGAAUACAUAGUGUUGCAAGGCGAACGAGGGGAAGUGAAACAUCUCAGUACCCUUAGGAAAAGAAAUCAAUUGAGAUUCCCUCAGUAGCGGCGAGCGAACGGGGAUCAGCCCAUUAAGUUAUGUGUGUUUUAGUGGAACGCUCUGGGAAGUGCGAACGUAGAGGGUGAUAUUCCCGUACACGAAAGGGCACACAUAAUGAUGACGAGUAGGGCGAGGCACGUGAAACCUUGUCUGAAUAUGGGGGGACCAUCCUCCAAGGCUAAAUACUCCUGACUGACCGAUAGUGAACCAGUACCGUGAGGGAAAGGCGAAAAGAACCCCUGUGAGGGGAGUGAAAUAGAUCCUGAAACCGCAUGCAUACAAGCAGUGGGAGCACCUUCGUGGUGUGACUGCGUACCUUUUGUAUAAUGGGUCAGCGACUUAUAUUCAGUAGCGAGGUUAACCGUAUAGGGGAGCCGUAGAGAAAUCGAGUCUUAAUAGGGCGUUUAGUUGCUGGGUAUAGACCCGAAACCAGGCGAUCUAUCCAUGAGCAGGUUGAAGGUUGGGUAACACUAACUGGAGGACCGAACCCACUGUCGUUGAAAAGCCAGGGGAUGACUUGUGGAUAGGGGUGAAAGGCUAAUCAAGCCUGGUGAUAGCUGGUUCUCCCCGAAAGCUAUUUAGGUAGCGCCUCGGACGAAUACCAUAGGGGGUAGAGCACUGUUUCGGCUAGGGGGUCAUCCCGACUUACCAAACCGAUGCAAACUCCGAAUACCUAUGAGUACUAUCCGGGAGACAGACUGCGGGUGCUAACGUCCGUAGUCAAGAGGAAAACAAUCCAGACCGCCAGCUAAGGCCCCAAAAUCAUAGUUAAGUGGGAAACGAUGUGGGAAGGCAUAGACAGCUAGGAGGUUGGCUUAGAAGCAGCCACCCUUUAAAGAAAGCGUAAUAGCUCACUAGUCGAGUCGGCCUGCGCGGAAGAUGUAACGGGGCUAAAACUAUGUGCCGAAGCUGCGGAUGUAUACUUUGUAUACGUGGUAGGGGAGCGUUCUGUAAGCCGAUGAAGGUGUGUUGAGAAGCAUGCUGGAGGUAUCAGAAGUGCGAAUGCUGACGUGAGUAACGACAAAACGGGUGAAAAACCCGUUCGCCGAAAGACCAAGGGUUCCAGUCCAACGUUAAUCGGGGCUGGGUGAGUCGACCCCUAAGGCGAGGCCGAAAGGCGUAGUCGAUGGGAAAAUGGUUAAUAUUCCAUUACUUCUGUGUAAUGCGAUGAGAGGACGGAGAAGGCUAAAUCAGCCUGGCGUUGGUUGUCCAGGUGAAAGGAUGUAGGCAUGUAUCUUAGGCAAAUCCGGGGUACUCUAUGCUGAGAUCUGAUAGCAAGCUGUACUUGUACAGCGAAGUGGUUGAUGCCAUGCUUCCAGGAAAAGUCUCUAAGCUUCAGUUACACAGGAAUCGUACCCGAAACCGACACAGGUGGUCAGGUCGAGUAGACCAAGGCGCUUGAGAGAACUCUGCUGAAGGAACUAGGCAAAAUGGUACCGUAACUUCGGGAGAAGGUACGCUGUUGUUGGUGAUGGAACUCGCUUCCUGAGCUGACGACAGCCGCAGAAACCAGGCCGCUGCAACUGUUUAUUAAAAACAUAGCACUCUGCAAACACGAAAGUGGACGUAUAGGGUGUGAUGCCUGCCCGGUGCUGGAAGGUUAAUUGAUGGGGUUAGCGUAAGCGAAGCUCUUGAUCGAAGCCCCAGUAAACGGCGGCCGUAACUAUAACGGUCCUAAGGUAGCGAAAUUCCUUGUCGGGUAAGUUCCGACCUGCACGAAUGGCAUAAUGAUGGCGGCGCUGUCUCCAGCAGAGGCUCAGUGAAAUCGAAAUCGCUGUGAAGAUGCAGUGUACCCGCGGCUAGACGGAAAGACCCCGUGAACCUUUACUGCAGCUUGACACUGAACUUUGACCUUACUUGUGUAGGAUAGGUGGGAGGCUUUGAAGCUGGAACGCUAGUUCCAGUGGAGCCGUCCUUGAAAUACCACCCUGGUAAUGUUGAGGUUCUAACUCUGUCCCGUGAUCCGGGACGAGGACCGUGUCUGGUGGGUAGUUUGACUGGGGCGGUCUCCUCCUAAAGAGUAACGGAGGAGUACGAAGGUGCGCUCAGCGUGGUCGGAAAUCACGCGUAGAGUAUAAAGGCAAAAGCGCGCUUAACUGCGAGACCCACAAGUCGAGCAGGUACGAAAGUAGGUCUUAGUGAUCCGGUGGUUCUGUAUGGAAGGGCCAUCGCUCAACGGAUAAAAGGUACUCAGGGGAUAACAGGCUGAUACCGCCCAAGAGUUCAUAUCGACGGCGGUGUUUGGCACCUCGAUGUCGGCUCAUCUCAUCCUGGGGCUGAAGCAGGUCCCAAGGGUAUGGCUGUUCGCCAUUUAAAGAGGUACGCGAGCUGGGUUUAGAACGUCGUGAGACAGUUCGGUCCCUAUCUACCGUGGGCGCUGGAAAUUUGAGAGGAUCUGCUCCUAGUACGAGAGGACCAGAGUGGACGAACCUCUGGUGUACCGGUUGUGACGCCAGUCGCAUCGCCGGGUAGCUAUGUUCGGAAGGGAUAACCGCUGAAAGCAUCUAAGCGGGAAGCCUACCUCAAGAUAAGAUUUCCCUAGGACUUUAUGUCCUCUAAAGAGCCGUUCGAGACUAGGACGUUGAUAGGUUGGAUGUGGAAGCAUAGUGAUAUGUGAAGCUGACCAAUACUAAUUGCUCGUGAGGCUUGACUA